This 708-nucleotide ribosomal RNA is filed under the name Paradilepis urcenia. RNAcentral describes it as "partial large subunit ribosomal RNA". The record is from RNAcentral. Lineage: Eukaryota; Metazoa; Platyhelminthes; Cestoda; Cyclophyllidea; Gryporhynchidae.
UACUCUGAGAGAGAGUAACAGUACGUGAAGCCGCAUGCAGGUAAACGGGUGGCGUCAAGCUGCGAGCCCGGAGGAUUCAGCUGGCUGGGAUGUAGUGUACGCGCCUGGUGCGUCAAAUGGCCAGAGUAAGAUGUGGUAGUUCCCUCCUCUGCCGGGAGGGAGGCGUGAUUGGGGCAACUCAAUUGUCGCCAUGCGGGCUGGUGUGUUGCCAGUGCAUGCUACUCGUCUGUUGGGCCGCCUGGUCAGUGCACUUUCUCCGUGGUGAACACCACGACCGGUGGUAUUGCCAGUCUACUAUGGUCUAGUUGUGCCCCUCCUCUCUUGUCUCCCCAUCACCGUCUCCCCGUCUCGUGCGGCGGCGGCGGCGGCGGGUAGAUGGGACUGUGAGUGGGUAUGAUCGCAGACAGAUUGAAUGAACGGCGUAGUGGUGCCUCGGUACUGUUGCGUGUUAUCGUGCAUUCGCUGUUGUAAACGAGGCCGGCUUGGGUGUAUUGUAACUGCACUUGUCGGUUUCUCGGCGGACCAUAGUGGUGAAAACRACUGUGCAAGGCACCGGGGUUAACCACCUCAUUGUAAAAUGAUAUCCGGUACGCACGUUACAGGUGCAGUUGUUGUCUAUCUGGAGCGCGUGGCUGCCUGGAGGUGUUGGACCUGACUACCGUGUUGCCUGCAAAAAGUAGGUCCGGUAGUGGUUGCAGAUGCCUUACA